CGGCAGAGUGUAUCAAGUGCGGUCAUCGGUUUACUGUAGCAUGGUGACACCUCCGCAUACGUAUCCUUAUUGAAGGUUACUGUCCCCUUCUGAGUAGGCGCUGUUAUAUUCAGCCGCUUAACUUCCAAAGGCGAAGCUGUCACCUUCCAGUUUGCAGGCUCGAUCUGAUCGCCGUUACACUCAUCCAACCCCUGCUGGCCGCGACACAUCCAGUCGUAGUCUUUUUUCCCUUUUUUCAUCGCCCUUCUUGGACCGCUACCAGUGCCAGAAUCCCAGACAGUGACAUUAUCAUUGCCCAAGUCGUCCGUCAGGAUCACAAGAGUGCCACUACCUGGUAGGUAGUCAACAGCGAAUGUGUCGAUGCAUUCCUCCGGUGAAAGGCGUUCAAAAGAGUCAUGAGUCAUGGAUUGGAGAAAAUCGGAUUUCGUGAGGUUUAGGGCAGACCUAACACAUUCGCUAGCCACAAGGCUGUAAUCGCCUACGUUGGGGGCUACUAAGACUUUGUAUUGAUGCACGGCAGUGGAGGCGAAUAUGACGGAGUUAUAUCUGGAUGAUCCAGUGAGAAUAUGCAAUCAAUGGCAUUGGAUAUUGAAGGCACUAACAUAAUGUGAAUUGGUAGUGAAGUAAGCAGCAAUACUAGCCAGAGGCCC
This 650-nucleotide small RNA is filed under the name Histoplasma ohiense. RNAcentral's name for it is "hypothetical lncRNA". The record is from RNAcentral. Lineage: Eukaryota; Fungi; Ascomycota; Eurotiomycetes; Onygenales; Ajellomycetaceae.